This 499-nucleotide ribosomal RNA is filed under the name uncultured bacterium. RNAcentral's name for it is "bacterial SSU rRNA". It matches the Rfam family "Bacterial small subunit ribosomal RNA", at positions 28 to 524 of the family's 1533-position model. The record is from RNAcentral.
GAUGAACGCUAGCGGCAGGCCUAAUACAUGCAAGACGAACGGUAAGUUGAGUAGCAAUACUUAGCCAAGAGUGUCGUACGGGUGCGUAACACGUAUGCAACCUACCCUAUACAGGAGGAUAGCCUAGGGAAACCUGGAUUAACCCUUCAUAGUAUUAUUGGAUGGCAUCAUUUGAUAAUUAAAACUGAGGUGGUAUAGGAUGGGCAUGCGUCUGAUUAGUUAGUUGGCGGGGUAAUGGCCCACCAAGACGAUGAUCAGUAGGGGUUCUGAGAGGAAGAUCCCCCACACUGGCACUGAGAUACGGGCCAGACUCCUACGGGAGGCAGCAGUAGGGAAUAUUGGUCAAUGGAUGCAAGUCUGAACCAGCCAUGCCGCGUGAGGAAGAAGGCCUUCUGGGUUGUAAACUGCUUUUGCCAGGGGAUAAAAUUUCCAUGCGUGGAAAACUGAAGGUACCUGGUGAAUAAGCCACGGCUAACUACGUGCCAGCAGCCGCGGUAAU